UAACAAGAUGUGAAAAAU
This 18-nucleotide small nuclear RNA is filed under the name Arabidopsis thaliana (thale cress). Its description in RNAcentral is "snRNA_05687". Lineage: Eukaryota; Viridiplantae; Streptophyta; Magnoliopsida; Brassicales; Brassicaceae. The record is from RNAcentral.